RNAcentral lists this transfer RNA (69 nucleotides) under Ictidomys tridecemlineatus (thirteen-lined ground squirrel). RNAcentral describes it as "Spermophilus tridecemlineatus (thirteen-lined ground squirrel) tRNA". It matches the Rfam family "tRNA". Rfam says of the family: Transfer RNA (tRNA) molecules are approximately 80 nucleotides in length. Their secondary structure includes four short double-helical elements and three loops (D, anti-codon, and T loops). The record is from Rfam by way of RNAcentral. Lineage: Eukaryota; Metazoa; Chordata; Mammalia; Rodentia; Sciuridae.
GGGGUUGUGGCUCAGUGGUAGAGUGCUCACCUAGCAUGUGUGAAGCCCUGGGUUCAGUCCUCAGCACCA